RNAcentral lists this ribosomal RNA (253 nucleotides) under uncultured bacterium. RNAcentral's name for it is "partial 16S ribosomal RNA". It matches the Rfam family "Bacterial small subunit ribosomal RNA", at positions 524 to 776 of the family's 1533-position model. The record is from RNAcentral.
UACGUAGGGUGCAAGCGUUAAUCGGAAUUACUGGGCGUAAAGCGUGCGCAGGCGGUUUUGUAAGUCUGACGUGAAAUCCCCGGGCUCAACCUGGGAAUGGCAAUGGAGACUGCAAGGCUAGAGUUUGGCAGAGGGGGGUAGAAUUCCACGUGUAGCAGUGAAAUGCGUAGAUAUGUGGAGGAACACCGAUGGCGAAGGCAGCCCCCUGGGUCAAAACUGACGCUCAUGCACGAAAGCGUGGGGAGCAAACAGG